This 506-nucleotide ribosomal RNA is filed under the name uncultured bacterium. RNAcentral describes it as "partial 16S ribosomal RNA". It matches the Rfam family "Bacterial small subunit ribosomal RNA", at positions 30 to 523 of the family's 1533-position model. The record is from RNAcentral.
AUUGAACGCUGGCGGCAUGCCUUACACAUGCAAGUCGAACGGCAGCAUGAUCUAGCUUGCUAGGUUGAUGGCGAGUGGCGAACGGGUGAGUAAUACAUCGGAACGUGCCCUGUAGUGGGGGAUAACUAGUCGAAAGAUUAGCUAAUACCGCAUACGACCUGAGGGUGAAAGUGGGGGACCUUCGGGCCUCACGCUAUUCGAGCGGCCGACGUCUGAUUAGCUAGUUGGUGAGGUAAAGGCUCACCAAGGCGACGAUCAGUAGCGGGUCUGAGAGGAUGAUCCGCCACACUGGGACUGAGACACGGCCCAGACUCCUACGGGAGGCAGCAGUGGGGAAUUUUGGACAAUGGGCGCAAGCCUGAUCCAGCCAUGCCGCGUGUCUGAAGAAGGUCUUCGGGUUGUAAAGGACUUUUGUCCGGGAGCAAAUGCUGGUGGCUAACAUCCACCGGAGCUGAGAGUACCGGAAGAAUAAGCACCGGCUAACUACGUGCCAGCCGCCGCAGUAA